This 300-nucleotide ribosomal RNA is filed under the name Triticum aestivum (bread wheat). RNAcentral describes it as "partial small subunit ribosomal RNA". Lineage: Eukaryota; Viridiplantae; Streptophyta; Magnoliopsida; Poales; Poaceae. The record is from RNAcentral.
GGGUUGUGGGUUUUAGCUGUUCGGAAUCCACAAACCAUCCCGACCGACGGUCAGAAUUUUUUUGAAUAUGUCCUUGGGUUUAUUCGAGACUUGAGAAAAACUCAGAUUGGAGAAGAAUAUGGUCCCUGGGUUCCCUUUAUUGGAACUAUGUUCCUUUUUAUUUUUGUUUCGAAUUGGUUGGGUGCUCUUUUACCUUGGAAAAUUAUAGAGUUACCCCAUGGGGAAUUAGCAGCACCCACGAAUAUACACUGGCACUAUAAUAUCAGAUUGGGGGGGGGGGAGAUCGGAAUUAGCAAUUGA